Molecule: ribosomal RNA, 441 nt
Filed under: uncultured Pseudomonas sp.
Lineage: Bacteria; Pseudomonadati; Pseudomonadota; Gammaproteobacteria; Pseudomonadales; Pseudomonadaceae
Description: bacterial SSU rRNA
Rfam family: Bacterial small subunit ribosomal RNA
Source: RNAcentral
GCUGGUCGACCGGUAGCAGAGAAGCUUGCUUCUCUUGAGAGCGGCGGACGGGUGAGUAAAGCCUAGGAAUCUGCCUGGUAGUGGGGGAUAACGUUCGGAAACGGACGCUAAUACCGCAUACGUCCUACGGGAGAAAGCAGGGGACCUUCGGGCCUUGCGCUAUCAGAUGAGCCUAGGUCGGAUUAGCUAGUUGGUGAGGUAAUGGCUCACCAAGGCGACGAUCCGUAACUGGUCUGAGAGGAUGAUCAGUCACACUGGAACUGAGACACGGUCCAGACUCCUACGGGAGGCAGCAGUGGGGAAUAUUGGACAAUGGGCGAAAGCCUGAUCCAGCCAUGCCGCGUGUGUGAAGAAGGUCUUCGGAUUGUAAAGCACUUUAAGUUGGGAGGAAGGGCAUUAACCUAAUACGUUAGUGUUUUGACGUUACCGACAGAAUAAGCA